Molecule: long non-coding RNA, 1434 nt
Organism: Canis lupus familiaris (dog)
Lineage: Eukaryota; Metazoa; Chordata; Mammalia; Carnivora; Canidae
Exons: 3
Source: RefSeq, a predicted model, not a curated record
UCGUAGUCCUUCACCUCAGCCAGCCAGUAGAUGACUAUUUUAGGCUUGUUCCUGGCCACAUAAUUGAGCUCCCUUCUGAACCCCUCAAUGAUGGUCAGCUGGCCUGCUGCUAUGCCUGCUUCCUCCUGAGUCUCCCGCAAGGCCGUUUCCAAGUCAUCUUCUCCUGGUUCCACAUGGCCUGGUUAGGAAAAAAGAGGAAAAGGAGGAAGAGAUAAUCUUUAGCAAAGUGGAAUUUUCAGGUCCCAGCAGAACACAAUUUGGAGAGGUCCUUUGAAAUCUUUCAGUGAGAGGUACUAAGCAGUAUGACUUUGGCAACCAGGAGACAAGUGUGAAUAUUUCUAUUCAUAGUAUUUGUGACACUUCUGUCCCUUUCUUUCACCUAUUUCUCCUUAGUGAAACACAAAUGUGCAAAGUUUAUUUCCUAUUCCCCUUUCCUUAUUUUCCUCCCACCCUUGAUCCUUGUUCGCCCCUCUCCCAUGGCACUCCCCUUUAAAGCCCCUGCUCCCUUCUAUCUUGGGACCGUUCACUCUGGGCUCCUGACCUGUAACCCAGUAAUGACUUGACCCCAAGGUCCCCAAUUCCCAGCCCAGUGCCUUUUCUCCUACCCAUUUACCACAGAGGCUGGUGCUUCAGUGAGUGAUAGUCUCUCUCUCUCUCUCUCACACACACACACACACAAACACACACACACAUGCUGCUCUGCUCCGGGAUUCAAUCACAGAGUACUAUUUCCAGCUCCAGGCUGGCAUGGAGACCACGUAUGCAGAAAGGAUCAAGGGUUCCUGCCUACCCCACCUCCUUCUGCUGCACAGUCACUGGGACGUAAGCCUUAUGGGGGGCCUGGUAAGGUGGCUUUUCAAGCAAUGCUCGGCACUUGAGAGCCAGCCCCCUCUGCCUCACACCUUUGGGAGGAGUCCAGUGAUGAAUGCCAUCUGACGCCUGCAGCAGUAGAAACUCAAUUGUGGGAUUCUCCACCUUGGGAAUGAGCCGUCUUCGGAAGAUGAUCAAGCCACACGCUCUCAGGGCCAUGGUCUAUCUGAGGAUUUAACAAAGAAGAUGUGAGACAUUGGAAGUUACAUGAAACAGGAAAAUGCAUCCUGGGGGCAGCAUCUGGUACUGGGGAGUAGCACAGAUCAGCUAACAGUGACCUCAUCAACUACAGAAAAAGGCAGCAUACCAAGGACCAGCUGGAGAAAGCCAGGAAUCAGAGACUGAUUUAAAAGAAUGUCAACAACAAAAGACAGAAAGGGAGAAGAGUAGGAAUAUCUGCAGCAGCGAAAAAACAAUUCAUUAUCUGAAGGGGGACACGUGGGAUCCCUGGGUGGCGCAGCGGUUUGGCGCCUGCCUUUGGCCCAGGGCGCGAUCCUGGAGACCUGGGAUCGGGUCCCACGUCGGGCUCCCGGUGCAUGGAGCCUGCUUCUCCCUCUGCCUGUG